This 427-nucleotide ribosomal RNA is filed under the name uncultured bacterium. RNAcentral's name for it is "partial 16S ribosomal RNA". It matches the Rfam family "Bacterial small subunit ribosomal RNA", at positions 355 to 774 of the family's 1533-position model. The record is from RNAcentral.
UGGGGAAUAUUGGACAAUGGGCGAAAGCCUGAUCCAGCCAUGCCGCGUGUGUGAAGAAGGUCUUCGGAUUGUAAAGCACUUUAAGUUGGGAGGAAGGGUUGUAGAUUAAUACUCUGCAAUUUUGACGUUACCGACAGACUAAGCACCGGCUAACUCUGUGCCAGCAGCCGCGGUAAUACAGAGGGUGCAAGCGUUAAUCGGAAUUACUGGGCGUAAAGCGCGCGUAGGUGGUUAGUUAAGUUGGAUGUGAAAUCCCCGGGCUCAACCUGGGAACUGCAUUCAAAACUGACUGACUAGAGUAUGGUAGAGGGUGGUGGAAUCUCCUGUGUAGCGGUGAAAUGCGUAGAUAUAGGAAGGAACACCAGUGGCGAAGGCGACCACCUGGACUGAUACUGACACUGAGGUGCGAAGGCGUGGGGAGCAAACA